Molecule: transfer RNA, 74 nt
Filed under: Listeria monocytogenes
Lineage: Bacteria; Bacillati; Bacillota; Bacilli; Caryophanales; Listeriaceae
Description: tRNA-Met
Rfam family: tRNA
About the family: Transfer RNA (tRNA) molecules are approximately 80 nucleotides in length. Their secondary structure includes four short double-helical elements and three loops (D, anti-codon, and T loops). Further hydrogen bonds mediate the characteristic L-shaped molecular structure. tRNAs have two regions of fundamental functional importance: the anti-codon, which is responsible for specific mRNA codon recognition, and the 3' end, to which the tRNAs corresponding amino acid is attached (by aminoacyl-tRNA synthetases). tRNAs cope with the degeneracy of the genetic code in two manners: having more than one tRNA (with a specific anti-codon) for a particular amino acid; and 'wobble' base-pairing, i.e. permitting non-standard base-pairing at the 3rd anti-codon position.
Source: RNAcentral
CGCGGGGUGGAGCAGUCUGGUAGCUCGUCGGGCUCAUAACCCGAAGGUCGUAGGUUCAAAUCCUGUCCCCGCAA